UUCAUUUUUCUUUUUAUCUCCUGGGAGAUCUGGAAGAUAUGCAAAGAGUAGCUUGAGAAGGAACACACACACACACACACACACACACACACACACACACACACACAGAGUUUACCAAGAGAGGUCACUGCAACAUCCUCGGUGGAUGAAUUCACAAAGGCGUGAGACAAGAUUCAAGGUGAAAUUAACUCUGUUAGAGGAGCAAAACUGAGAACAUCAUACAAAAAUGACCCAGUAUGUUUUCUGAGAGUGCAAAACCCAUCUUGCUGUCUAUCCUUGGAGGACACAAUCCAUCCUCACUUGGUUUGUACAAGGUACCAUCAGAGCUGUAAGCUCACAAAGACUUACUGUGACUAUGAAAAUAAGCACAUUAAAAUCACAAAACACUCUGACAGAAAAACAUAAAUCUUGAUUGGCUGUCAUCAGUCCCCUGAAGUGUCUGAUGCUGGCAGAACAGGUCUUUUAAAACAGAAGGCCAGCUGCUCAGUUACUGUAAAUCAGCAUAAGAUGUUGUGAAAAGGAAAAAACAUUGGUAGUGCUUAAAGGUUGUUUUAAGGAGAUCAGUGAAUAACUAAAUGUUUAACAUGCCCUCUGGAAUGUGUAUAAAACAGACUCUGAUUUGCAGAGAAGAAGAUUUAAAUUACAUAUUUUAAAAAAAUAUUAUCUAGUGGCUAAGCAGAAGCAGGUUGUGUUGCUAAUCUCCUUCACUGGGAGUUCGUAAGAACUGAUCAGACUAACAUCUGCCACACAUGGAUUCUGGAUUCUGCUCCAGUGGAGAGGCUAAACUGUGUGUGCUCUGGAGAUCUCUUCAGUGCUUACAAAGUGUGAAGAAAUAGAGCUCAGAAUUGAAACAGUUAUGGAUUUUCAAAACACCUUUGUCUCCUUGCUUCCUGUUCAAGACAGACCGCAAGACUCACAGAUUGGUUCAAUCCCAUGUGUUAAUCCCUGUGUUAUUCAGCCUGCACUUAAUUUCUGAGCGCAGCUAAGAGACAGGCAGUACAUGUAAAACAUUCUAGCAAAUGUAGUUAAAUCAAUCCAGUAAAAUUUUAAUAUUCCUUUUCAUGCUAAAGUGAGCUAUAACUGCUAUUUAACUUCAUAGUUAACUACAUUAUAUAAGUAUCUAUUUAUUACUGUAUAACUAUGAACAUAUAAUUAUAAAAUUGUAUAUGGUAGUU
RNAcentral lists this long non-coding RNA (1175 nucleotides) under Parus major (Great Tit). Its description in RNAcentral is "lncRNA (ENSPMJG00000016278.1)". Lineage: Eukaryota; Metazoa; Chordata; Aves; Passeriformes; Paridae. The record is from RNAcentral.